AGAGUUUGAUCAUGGCUCAGAUUGAACGCUGGCGGAAUGCUUUACACAUGCAAGUCGAACGGCAGCACGGGAGCUUGCUCCUGGUGGCGAGUGGCGAACGGGUGAGUAACACGUCGGAACGUAUCCAUUAAUGGGGGAUAACGCAGCGAAAGCUGUGCUAAUACCGCAUACGCCCCGAGGGGGAAAGCAGGGGAUCUUCGGACCUUGCGUUAUUGGAGCGGCCGACGUCUGAUUAGCUAGUUGGUGGGGUAAAGGCCUACCAAGGCGACGAUCAGUAGCUGGUCUGAGAGGAUGAUCAGCCACACUGGAACUGAGACACGGUCCAGACUCCUACGGGAGGCAGCAGUGGGGAAUUUUGGACAAUGGGCGCAAGCCUGAUCCAGCCAUUCCGCGUGAGUGAAGAAGGCCUUCGGGUUGUAAAGCUCUUUCGGCAGGGAAGAAACAGUUGAGGCCAAUACCCUUGACCAAUGACGGUACCUGAAGAAGAAGCACCGGCUAACUACGUGCCAGCAGCCGCGGUAAUACGUAGG
RNAcentral lists this ribosomal RNA (530 nucleotides) under uncultured bacterium. Its description in RNAcentral is "bacterial SSU rRNA". It matches the Rfam family "Bacterial small subunit ribosomal RNA", at positions 8 to 531 of the family's 1533-position model. The record is from RNAcentral.